RNAcentral lists this long non-coding RNA (5921 nucleotides) under Vitis vinifera (wine grape). RNAcentral describes it as "long non-coding RNA (VVIN_LNC005114)". The record is from RNAcentral. Lineage: Eukaryota; Viridiplantae; Streptophyta; Magnoliopsida; Vitales; Vitaceae.
GAAAAAAAAAAAGGUAGGAUCCCAUUGUUAUUAUCUUUCACAUAAUUAAAUUUAUAAAAAUAAUUUAAAGCCUUUUUUUUAAUAUAUUUAUUUAUUUAUUUGUAACCGAAUAAAAAGCCAAUUAGUAUCCUUGUAAAUUUCCAUUAUUCAUGCACUUCAAGACUCUUCGGUUCUCGCUGGACUCCUUGUUUUUUAGCCUUUCUUUUUUUCCUUUCUCCUAUUUUCUCUCUUCUCUCUCUCUUCUCUUCAGGGAUAUUCUAGCCUGAACUCGCCGGAGAAUCCAUAGAUUCCGGUGGCUUCGCCUUUCUUUGAUCACAGCCAUGAAUUAUGAGUAGUAAGUUGCAUUGAGUCUCUGAAUUUCUAGGCUCUUAGCGCCCAUGUCACACCUCUUUUCCUUUCUAAGUUUCUUCUUCAUUGUCUGUGUUGUACAGUGAUCAUCUUUUCAAGAUUUUGCUUGUUGGAGAUUCUGGGGUUGGCAAAUCAUGUCUUCUUCUGAGAUAUGCUGUGAGUUUGUGUGAAUUGAGUGUUGUUUGGUUGCCUCUUUUUUAUUUUUGCAAUAUCAAGUGGGUGUUUUUCAAAUUUCACACAAUUUUUUUAAGUACUUACAGAGAUGGAAAUGCUAGUUUCUAUGCAUUGGGUAUUUGCCAGAAAAGUCACCCUCCGAAAGGAAAAUAUCUCAAAGGAUUCAAUGAUGGUUUCAGGGUGCAGUGCUCUGUUUCUAUUGGAACCACUUUUAAUGGAAGUGUAUUCUCUAAAAGUGCUUUUGGGGAUUCAAAACGCUUUUAUUAAUGGAAUGAUAUUCUUGGAAGUGUCUAUAAAGUGCUUAACCCUUUUUAUACUUGGAAAUACUUUCUAAAGAUAACUCUUAGUCUAUGACUUCAGCUAGAACUAGGAGGGGUGCCUCUUCUCUUAUGGAUGUCUUUUUCGAUUUGGGGUUUGUUUCUGUGGAGAGUUGGGGUUUUAUAUUUGAGUUGUGGGUGGAAUUCAUUCAUCAGUCUAUUCAUCUCCUACAUUCUUGCUUCUGUCAUCAGUAAUAUUUUCUGCUUUCUGUGCAAACAAACAAGGAGUACUAGUCUGGAAUAUUGAGCUGGCCUACCAUGAAGAGAAGGAUAGUAGUACUUCAUUAGCUACUGAUAAAUUAUGAAUUUUUGAGUUCCUAGUCUUUGGUUUUGUCUCCAGUACCCUCUAAAUGUAGAGCAUUAAUCUUUCUGCGGCCUGUGAUGAUGAACAGAGCUUUGUAUGCGGCUCUAUCUUUAUGAACCUAAUGAUUUCCUUGAUCUCUGACAUACAGGAUGAUACAUAUUCUGAGGCUUACAUAAGCACCAUUGGAGUUGAUUUUGUGAGUAACCAUUCACCAAGAACUAAGCAAUUAUUGACUCUCGAGAAUUUCUUUUUCAAAAGUACUGAUUUUCCCAUGUUUGUUUCCGUAGAAAAUUUGCAGUAUGGAGCGGGAUGGGAGGAACCUUAAACUUCAAAUUGUAUGGUUGGGUUUCUUAAUUUUUUGUUUCAUCUCAUAAGUCAUAAGCACAUGGCUGCUCACACUCUGGUCUUUGCCAAAAUUGUCCACUAAAUAUUUCUGAUUUUACAAGUAGUAUAAGCAUGCUAACACAUUUGAGGAAGAAGCAAUUCAGCAGAUAAACAAAGUUUCUUUCAACUUGUUGGCAGUGGGACACUGCAGGGCAAGAAAGAUUUAGGGCCCUCACUUGCAGCUACUAUCGUGGGGCACACGGUGUUAUGGUCGGUGGUCUCCUCUCCCUUGCUUUCCGAGAGUUGUUUUAAAAAAUAAUUAUAAAAAUAUGAAGAAUAAUUACUCAUACAGACUUCUGUUUUACGAAACAUUAUAAAACAAUUUUAAAAAAUUAUUCUAAAAAACUAUCUUUCACAAACAUUUUUGAAAAGAACUUUUCAAACAGAGCCUAUAUAUUUGAUAUGUUCUCAUCUUCUCUACUAGGUGGUUUAUGAUGUAACAGACCAAGAGAGUUUCGAUAAUGUGAAGAUGUGGGUGAAAGAAGUUUAUUCCACGGCUGGUAAGAAUGUCAACAUAUUUCUACUAGGAAACAAGUCUGAUCUCACGGCAGAUAGAGUAGUGUCAUAUAAAACAGCCAAGGUAUCAUAUCAUUGCUGUGUCUUCAAGUUCAAUUCAAGCUCAUAUAAUAAGCUUGCAGCAUUUUGUUUGAAGAUUCAUAAGAACCUACAGUCUUUAACCAUUCAGCUUCCAGGCAUUAGCUGAUGAAAUUGGGGCACCUUUAAUGGAAAUCAGUGCAAAAGAUGGAAGUAAUGUCCAACAGGCUUUCAUAGCCAUGGCUACUGCAGUCAAGGAGAGGUAGGUAUUCAUCAAUAAUUUUUUUUUCUCCUUGGUGCUUUCCGGGAUGGAAACCAAGUCUUAAUACUGUUAAUAAUAAAUAAUGCAGGGUGGUGAAGGAACGAGCCACGGACAAUGGCAGAGACUCAGGAGUAAAAACCAGAGGAAAGCCCAUUUCACAGAGCCGUAGCUGCUGCGGAUCUUAAAAGCCCAGACUUGUAUUUCCAACUUCCUUGUAUUCUAGCUGCUUCGCUGGAUUCUUAUCCAACAUAUUAGCUUACUCUAAUCUUGGUUGCAUUCAAGGUUUUGUUUUUUGUCUUUCAUUAUUCCUGAUCAGAACCAGUCAUUAGGAAUCUAUCAUUCAGUUGUAGGUUUGAAAGUUCUUUUCAUGGUUGUUGAGAUACAAGUGUGUAAAUCAGAAUAUCAAUACAUACUUUCAUCAUUCUUAGCCUCCCCUAUCUUUGAGCUUCUAGUAAUUGCAAUGUCAUGAAUUGUGGUAAUUUGGAUCAUAACUAAACACAUCGAGAUCAACAAUCAAAUCUAAAACAUAAACCCUAAAAAAAUCCUAUUUGAUAAUCAAAUCUUAUAUGAUCAACUUUUUAAAUCAUAAUUAACCUGUUUAUUCAAAAUCAAAUUUUAAAUUAGUAAAUUGUAGUAUAAAAAGAUUAAAAUGAUACUUAAGUUGAUCACUACAACAUGAUGCAGAUUGACCCAAAAACAACCAAAUUAUUAAACACCCAAAACGUAAUCAUACCCGAACGUUGCCACCCGAAUGUUGGGCAAUAUGACAUUUGACAGGGCCAGCUCAGAUACUCCAAAAGUCCUGAGGAAGAAGACAAAUCCAGGACCAGUGACCCUUGAAAACACCGCAACUCCCCAAUAUAACGUCCAGAAAAGGGAAUAAUACGACAGCACCACCAAUAAAGCAUAUCUCCUCUUUGAAGGAGGAUACGACAAGAUUGUUCAGAGCUGUGAAUUUGGUUGCCCCUCCAAUGAAGGACCGGCAUAUUUGGAUAAUAAUAUAUAUAUAUUUACAGACCAAAUGAUAACAGAAAUGACAACAGUUUUGCAAAGAAAGACUGAUGUCAAGCAGUACCACAAGUCCCAAUUCAGAAAUAAGCAAAAUCGCGUCCCAUCUAUUCCAGAAACAAAACUGAGCAACAUCAAUUUCUAGUCAUAAAUAAAUUGUUUCACAUGCCCCAAAUUCUCAAAACGGCCAAUAAUAAGAGGAAAAGAAAGAAAGAAAACACAGCAUACCACUUAAAAACGAAAAACUACAGGGGAACGCAUGAAACACCUGAAAUUUACAUUUUUAAGGCAUAAAAUUUAAGAGAUCUUUUUGAUACAGGAAACCCCAUUAUUCUAGUCAAUUUCCCGCUCAAGAUUGAAGGACAGAAGCCCAAGGAAAGGAAAAACCAAAGAGAGAUUGGAAGUGGGGGGUAAGACAAAAUCUCACUUGGCACCUAAGGUUGGGAACUGUCCUGGAUCUUCAAUGGAAGGGGCUGCCACAUUGCUCAUUGCAUUGCCUCCACCAUACCCACCUCUAGAACCACGACCACGCCCUCGACCACGACCACCUGGGCUGUAGAACCUCUCCCCUUCAGCAGGCUUCAAGAACUCAUUAAUGCUGACAGCCUACAACAAACCACCACCAAUCAAUCAGAUUCAGCAUCAUCCAGAAAGGGGAAUAAUUGGAAUUGCUAGACUGUAUUAAUAAAGAUGCCCAACAAUGCUGUCGAAUCUUAUGGGAAUAAAAAUGGUGGAAUGGACAUUCAUAGAAGUAAUAUCAAGUACAAUUGAAUCCUGAAAGCAUAGCAGAGAACUAAAAUCAGAAGGCAAAAAUUAAGCAUAAAAUCUAAUUUCUUUUCAUAAAGGGAUUUUAACAGGACAAGCCAAAUGCCAAGCCACAUCUAGGUUGAAGUAACCAAAGAAAUCUACAAAAUCAGUUGAUCUAGUGAACCAUGCCUGAAAGGCUCUGGACUAAAUGUCAAGUCCCAGGAAUAUAAACAACCACAGAGAAGAUGCAGUAACAGUAAACAAGAAAUGAGAUCCAUGGAAGACAUGAGGAAGAAAUGCAGAUCUAUUGGGAGGUAAGAUUGUGGGUUAAAGAAUAAACAAGUUGACAUUGAGAGACAGAUUGGUGAAUGUUGUACUAAAUCAGGGACAAGAAAAUUUUAAUUGUACCCUAGAUUGCAUAGCAACACAAGGCUCAAAAAAGAGAGGAUAUGAUCAUAUGGAGAAGGAUAUAAAUGAGUUGCUAAGAAAAUGUACCUUCUUGGCUCUCUCUUCCUUCUCAGCAGCCUCUUUCCGCUUAUCCUUAUCAGAGCCCUGGAAGAGAGUUUAAACAGCAAAGAUUGUUAAGAUACUAGAAGUCAGCUUCAUAACAUGAUUAGUACAAGAAUAAUGCACGAAGAUUCAACGGAUUUCACCAAUUUGAUGAAGAUGUCAUCAUUCCCCUUCUUGCUUGAAAGCUGUUGCAUGGACUUGAACUCUUUAUCAACAUCCACUUUUCUUUCCUCAGUCUUAAGUGUCUGCAGAGCCUUCCUCCUUUCUUCCAGCACCUUCUCAUACUCCUCAAGUGUCAUCUCCUAUUUACAAGAUACAAGGACCAUAAGCAAUAUCCGAUUGGUGCACAAUAAAUAUUGCACAGAUGCCAGUAAGAUCUCUUACUAAUAGAAUGGGAGAUUUUUCAACCAAAAAUAAAAAAUUUAAUGAACAAUGUUGUAAGAAAUAUAUUUUAAUCUACAAUAUUAACUUGAGAUUACCUUAAGUAACAAAAGCUCAUUACUUCUUGAUACUUGUGCUGAAAAAGCUAUUGCAGAAGCACUACAAUUAUUUUUUUUUUAUCAGAAUGGCAAUUAUUAUUACUAUUAUUAUGGAGGGUUGUGUGUAUCUUGGGAGUGGGUGGGUGGGGUGAGGGCUUUCCUGAAGGGAAUGCCAUCUAAUGCUCAAUAAGGCAAACAGUAGAAAAUUAAAAUUUAAGCCUACAUAACAUAGGUUGAAGCAUAUAGCAUGGUUCAGAGGCUGGAUACUACCAUUGUCAGAUCAGAAUUAACAAGCUAAUAUUUUCUUCGAUAAUAACAGUUUCAUUUCCUAGAAUAUUUGAUUACAUAUUUUAAGGCCCCCACCACCCAGCAAAAAGAUAAACCAGAAUUUAAAAAAACUAGAUAAUAUAUAUGGAUUACAGCCACAAAGAACCUGAUAUCAACAAAAAUAUUUCCUCAUAUCAUGCAUGCAUAAUAAAGCAACGGGCACAGUUCAUAUCUCAAGAUGUGAAAAAUAAACAAAGCUAAAAUUCUCUUAGAUAAUCAAAGUUUCACUUCCUAGAAUAUUUGAUUAAAUAUUUUAAGGCCCCCACCACCCAACAAAAUGAUAAACCGGAAAAAAAAAAGUAGAUAAUAUAUAUGGAUUACAACCAUGAAGAAGCUGAUAUCAACAAAAAAAUAUUUCCUCAUAUCCUGUAUGCAGCAUAAAGCAAUGAGCACAGUUCAGAUCUCAAUAUGUGAAAAAUUAAUCAAUAAAGAAUUCACCAUUCCAUUGGCAUAUGCAAAGCAAUGCACAAUGUGGGAAUACUUUAGAGCUUAAUUUAUGGGGAAAGAUAUCAUACUGAAUUGUACUU